Molecule: long non-coding RNA, 1226 nt
Filed under: Homo sapiens (human)
Lineage: Eukaryota; Metazoa; Chordata; Mammalia; Primates; Hominidae
Description: cancer susceptibility 15
Source: RNAcentral
ACUAUUCAAAAAAGGAUGCAAUGGAGAACAUUUACAGAGGACUGUGGGUAAAGCAAAGUCUUCAAGGGAAGAUAACAAAGGAUGAAACAAUGGUGUUGUGUGACUUCCUAGUGUGAAUCAUGGCAAUACAGUGAAAGACAGUGAUUUACUGCUUUUGAGGGCGUGCAUGUAUAUGAUUAACGGAUGGAAGUGCAGGACUCCAAGAUUUACUUCCUUCCCUUUCCAGCAGAAUUACCUGAGACGAGUAAAAUCUACUGGUGGAGUCACUCCAUUAUUCUUAUCUGUGGAGAUCUAGAUCUUGAUUUGAAAGUUUCUGAGAAAAUCUUCAGCUCAGACUUGAGGGUCAACUUUACCAGCUGAAGUGACUACAUCCUGCCUGCUUUCAGCUCCAGUGGAAAAUGCAUUAAUCCCAGAGUCUCCGUGAGGUUUCCUGUUUGAUGACAUAAUCAGAAAAUCCUCCUCACAUUGCCCUUGGGGUUGCUGUCUGGAUGUUAUGUUGUCUUGGAUCUGCAUUUACUGCUCAACCACAUCUAAUUUGAUGUCCUCUGCAGAUUUAAAAUGUGUGCCUUCUUUUCCGUCACCAAGUCAUCCCUGGGUUACUACUGAACAUCCUUCUCAAUUCCCCCCGACCCAUGGAUGGCUGUUCUCCAUUGUCUGUUUCACCAGAUGUCCUCAAAACAAACAGACAGAAGAAGGAAGUGGCUAAUGGAGCUGUGGAGUCCAAGUGUGACUGCCAAGAGGAAUCCAGCAAAGCCAAAAAGCCCAAGCAUGUAGCCCUGCCCGAAGCACGCCACACGCAUGGAAAACCCAGAGGAAAUGAGUGAGGAUCAAUGGGAAGAAGAGAGCCAGCCAGGAAGUUGAAGAUUUGUCCAGGAGCAGAUAGCUGAAGAGAGAGAGAGAGAAGAGAGAACGGCUUACAGCUCAGUUCUGGAGACCAGAAGGCCAAAAUCAAAAGUAUGGGCAGGCUUGAUUUCUUUAGAAGACUCCAGCGGAGAACUGUGUCUCCUUGCUUCUGAUUCUACAUCUCCAUCCAUGGGCCACUGUUUCAGCAACCUCAGCCAGUGCAACACAACCUCAGCCAAGAAGAGUAUGCAGAGAAAGGAGUCCCCUACCUGCCACAAAACUGUUGUCUGAAAACUGUCUCAUAUUGUCUCAAGUUGUCAUUCAUUGUGAAUUAGACCUGUUUAACAUGUAAUCUGCAACAUGCUUCACUGUCUAAUUUUCCA